AUUGAACGCUGGCGGCAUGCCUUACACAUGCAAGUCGAACGGCAGCACGGGUGCUUGCACCUGGUGGCGAGUGGCGAACGGGUGAGUAAUACAUCGGAACAUGUCCUGUAGUUGGGGAUAGCCCGGCGAAAGCCGGAUUAAUACCGCAUACGAUCUACGGAUGAAAGCGGGGGACCUUCGUGCCUCGCGCUAUCGGGUUGGCCGAUGGCUGAUUAGCUAGUUGGUGGGGUAAAGGCCUACCAAGGCGACGAUCAGUAGCUGGUCUGAGAGGACGACCAGCCACACUGGGACUGAGACACGGCCAAGACUCCUACGGGAGGCAGCAGUGGGGAAUUUUGGACAAUGGGCGAAAGCCUGAUACAGCAAUGCCGCGUGUGUGAAGAAGGACUUCGGGUUGUAAAGCACUUUUGUCCGGAAAGAAAACAUUGGCCCUAAUACGGUCGGGGGAUGACGGUACCGGAAGAAUAAGCACCGGCUAACUACGUG
Molecule: ribosomal RNA, 486 nt
Filed under: uncultured bacterium
Lineage: Bacteria
Description: partial 16S ribosomal RNA
Rfam family: Bacterial small subunit ribosomal RNA
Source: RNAcentral